CCCGCCUGCCCGGUGACCCUGGGUUAAACGGCCGCGGUAUUUUAACCGUGCGAAGGUAGCGCAAUCACUUGUCCUUUAAAUGAAGACCUGUAUGAAUGGCUAGACGAGGGCUUAGCUGUCUCCUCCCCCCGGUCAAUGAAAUUGAUCUCCCCGUGCAGAAGCGGGGAUACUUACAUAAGACGAGAAGACCCUAUGGAGCUUUAGACACUAGGCAGCCCACGUUAAACUUCCCCCAUAAAGAGGAAAAAACAUUUGUGACUCCUGUCUCUCCUGUCUUCGGUUGGGGCGACCGCGGAGGAUAAAAGAGCCUCCAUGUGGACUGAGGUUACUAACCUCACAACUAAGAGCUGCAGCUCCAAGCAACAGAAAAUCUGACCAAAAUGAUCCGGCAUAAUGCCGAUUAACGGAACAAGUUACCCUAGGGAUAACAGCGCAAUC
This 438-nucleotide ribosomal RNA is filed under the name Spirinchus lanceolatus. Its description in RNAcentral is "partial 16S ribosomal RNA". It matches the Rfam family "Bacterial large subunit ribosomal RNA", at positions 1854 to 2487 of the family's 2925-position model. Lineage: Eukaryota; Metazoa; Chordata; Actinopteri; Osmeriformes; Osmeridae. The record is from RNAcentral.